CCCUUAGAUGUUCUGGGCCGCACGCGCGCUACACUGACGAAUGCAACGAGCUUAUAACCUUGGCCGAAAGGUCUGGGAAAUCUCCAAAUUUCGUCGUGAUGGGGAUAGAUUAUUGCAAUUAUUAAUCUUCAACGAGGAAUGCCUAGUAAGCGCAAGUCAUCAGCUUGCGUUGAUUACGUCCCUGCCCUUUGUACACACCGCCCGUCGCUCCUACCGAUUGAAUGGUCCGGUGAAGCGUUCGGACCGUGGCCUUUGGACGGUUCGCCGUCUGUUGGCUGCGGGAAGUUCGUUAAACCUUAUCAUUUAGAGGAAGGAGAAGUCGUAACA
RNAcentral lists this ribosomal RNA (327 nucleotides) under uncultured eukaryote. RNAcentral's name for it is "partial 18S ribosomal RNA". It matches the Rfam family "Eukaryotic small subunit ribosomal RNA", at positions 1470 to 1796 of the family's 1831-position model. The record is from RNAcentral.